This is a long non-coding RNA of Mauremys mutica (yellowpond turtle), 382 nucleotides long. RefSeq lists it as uncharacterized. The record is from RefSeq and is a predicted model, not a curated record. The transcript has 3 exons. NCBI's taxonomy places the organism in Eukaryota, Metazoa, Chordata, Testudines, Geoemydidae.
GAAUUCCUAUAAAAGGCUGAGAGCAUGUUCAGAUCAGAAUGAUCUGGACUAGUGCAGUAGACUCUGAAGCAGGAGAAUUGAAAGAAGCAAAGGGAAAAGCCUCUGGGUUCUGAAGCCCAAGAUCCACUUUUGGACAGGAAUUGGAGAAGACAAUGGUUAUUUCUGUAUUGGGACGACCUAAAGAAUUUCACCAGAUGAAAGGAAGACCAAAGGGUAGUAAAACAAAGAGUGGCCAUAUGACACAAAUGAGCAACCCAAGAAUAAGACAACAAAGGACGGCAAGGCCUUUCCAUUUCAAAGGUCAUCGCAGUGGGAGCCAAAAGCCAACCCCAGAAGAAGAAAAUGUGUCCGAGAUCAUUUUGGUGUGUGCAAGAUAACUGGG